CUCUCCAAAGAGUGCUAAUAUUGAUCUGCCUGCAAAUCAUCUGCAACCUUCCUCCAGCUAUUUGACCUGCAGCAUCACUCAGCAUCACUCCUCUGCCUCAGCUUCUACAUGUAAUUCAGGGUGAAAAAAAGCAAUUUAAAAGCUGGAAGGGGCAGUUCUUAUCUACACAGUGAAUAUGGUUUCACUGCUAAGUCCACCAGAAGACAAAACUGCUUCAUCUUCAUUUGAAAUUCAGUGAUCGUUCCAGAGUCUUAGGGCCCUGACUGCAAACGCUCUGUCCCUUUUAGUUUUCAGCCGGGCCUCUGGAAC
Thunnus maccoyii (southern bluefin tuna) is the source of this 309-nucleotide long non-coding RNA. RefSeq lists it as uncharacterized. NCBI's taxonomy places the organism in Eukaryota, Metazoa, Chordata, Actinopteri, Scombriformes, Scombridae. The transcript is spliced from 3 exons. The record is from RefSeq and is a predicted model, not a curated record.